This 77-nucleotide transfer RNA is filed under the name Candidatus Omnitrophota bacterium. Its description in RNAcentral is "Candidatus Omnitrophica bacterium tRNA-His". It matches the Rfam family "tRNA". From Rfam's summary of the family: Transfer RNA (tRNA) molecules are approximately 80 nucleotides in length. Their secondary structure includes four short double-helical elements and three loops (D, anti-codon, and T loops). Lineage: Bacteria; Pseudomonadati; Candidatus Omnitrophota. The record is from RNAcentral.
GUGGAUGUAGCUCAGUUGGUUAGAGCUCAUGAUUGUGGUUCAUGAGGCCGGGGGUUCGAGUCCCCUCAUCCACCCCA